UAAGGAAUAUUGGUCAAUGGGCGGAAGCCUGAACCAGCCACGCCGCGUGCAGGAUGAAGGUCCUCUGGAUUGUAAACUGCUUUUAUCAGGGGCUAAGAAAGGGCUAUACGCCCUCGUGCAGGUACCUGAGGAAUAAGCCACGGCUAACUACGUGCCAGCAGCCGCGGUAAUACGUAGGUGGCAAGCGUUGUCCGGAUUUAUUGGGUUUAAAGGGUGCGUAGGCGGUUUGAUAAGUCAGUCGUUAAAGCCAUCAGCUUAACUGAUGCAAGGCGAUUGAUACUGUUAGACUUGAAUUCUUUGGAGGUAGCCGGAAUGCGUAGUGUAGCGGUGAAAUGCUCAGAUAUUACGCAGAACACCGAUUGCGGAGGCAGGUUGCUACAAAGAGAUUGACGCUGAGGCA
This 400-nucleotide ribosomal RNA is filed under the name uncultured bacterium. RNAcentral describes it as "bacterial SSU rRNA". It matches the Rfam family "Bacterial small subunit ribosomal RNA", at positions 355 to 753 of the family's 1533-position model. The record is from RNAcentral.